RNAcentral lists this RNase P RNA (239 nucleotides) under Sulfitobacter sp. RNAcentral's name for it is "partial RNase P RNA component class A". It matches the Rfam family "Bacterial RNase P class A", at positions 152 to 367 of the family's 367-position model. Rfam says of the family: Ribonuclease P (RNase P) is a ubiquitous endoribonuclease, found in archaea, bacteria and eukarya as well as chloroplasts and mitochondria. Its best characterised activity is the generation of mature 5'-ends of tRNAs by cleaving the 5'-leader elements of precursor-tRNAs. The record is from RNAcentral. Lineage: Bacteria; Pseudomonadati; Pseudomonadota; Alphaproteobacteria; Rhodobacterales; Roseobacteraceae.
GGGUGAAACGGUGGGGUAAGAGCCCACCGCGGGACGGGCAACCGGACUGGCAAGGCAAGCCCCACCAGGAGCAAUGCCAAAUAGGGACCGCGUGCGACGCAAGUCGCGGGGCUGCUUUUGCCCCAGCAGGUCCGGGUUGGCAGCUAGAGGUGCGCAGGUAACUGCGUGCUAAGAUGAAUGACUAUCUCGGGUGUGGUAACGCAUCUAGACAAAAUCCGGCUUACAGGCCUUCCGCGCAU